AACGAACGUUAGCGGCGCGCCUAACACAUGCAAGUCGAGCGAGAAAGGGCUUCGGCCCCGGUACAGCGGCGCACGGGUGAGUAACACGUAGGUAAUCUACCCCCGAAUGGUGGAUAACCCCUCCGAAAGGAGGGGCUAAUACAGCAUAAGAUCACGGUCUCUUCGGAGGCUGAGGCCAAAGCGGGCCUCUUCAUGAAAGCUCGCGUUUGGGGACGAGCCUGCGGCCCAUCAGCUAGUUGGCGGUGUAAUGGACCACCAAGGCUAAGACGGGUAGCUGGUCUGAGAGGAUGAACAGCCACACUGGAACUGAGACACGGUCCAGACUCCUACGGGAGGCAG
Molecule: ribosomal RNA, 339 nt
Filed under: uncultured Pseudomonadota bacterium
Lineage: Bacteria; Pseudomonadati; Pseudomonadota
Description: bacterial SSU rRNA
Rfam family: Bacterial small subunit ribosomal RNA
Source: RNAcentral